This 1038-nucleotide ribosomal RNA is filed under the name Encephalartos middelburgensis. RNAcentral describes it as "eukaryotic LSU rRNA". The stretch from base 628 to 781 matches the Rfam family "5.8S ribosomal RNA". Lineage: Eukaryota; Viridiplantae; Streptophyta; Cycadopsida; Cycadales; Zamiaceae. The record is from RNAcentral.
GGUUGCAAAGACAACGAGCGAACUGUCGAAUUCGGUGCUUCGCGGCUGCUGCCGAUACCUCGACCAUCGAACGUCACAUCCGAGCGAAUGUCUCGUUAGCACGACGACUUGUCUCUCGAUAUUCGUUGCGGGGGGUUCGAGGCAGCGUCGGCGGACCGGUCUCACCGUUUCGAAUGUUUGGUGUGUCGGGAAUCGGUGCCUCGCCGGGCCUUUGUGUUUCGGCUUCCCACGCGUUCGCUUUGGUUUGUCGCAGACAUGCGGGGAUGGCGCAUCGAGGUUCCAGUUCACACCUCCGCCACAGGGGUGCAUCCGGCCCGUUGCACCGUGCCCCUCCCGCGCGGGGCUUCCGUUUGACGACCGUCAGCGGAGGCGCGGCGCGUGGGGCCGGUUCGGUUCCGUCGGAUCCCUCGGCCUCGCUCCCUCGAUGUCUCGUCCAUGCAGACGGCGGCCUCGCGGACCCGGUCGGGACCGUUGAGUAUUUCGGUCCGCUGCGUGGCCGGCAUCGUGGGGGGCAGGCUCACGGAUGGACAUAUGAGCGUCGGUGUUUUUACGGGCACCAAGGACAGAAGGGGAGUGUCCCCCGGGCUCUGUUCGGCGGGGAACGGGCGGCGCUGCACCGAAAAGCACGACUCUCGGCAACGGAUAUCUCGGCUCUCGCCACGAUGAAGAACGCAGCGAAAUGCGAUACUUAGUGUGAAUUGCAGAAUCCCGUGAAUCAUCGAUUCUUUGAACGCAAGUUGCGCCUUGGGCCUCGGCCAAGGGCACGUCUGCUUGGGCGUCGCAUUCAAUUAAAAGCGCCCUUGUCCGUGCUCGGGCAUUGGAGCGGAGCUGGCCGUCUGCGCCUCCCCUGGCUCGGUUGGCUAAAACGGUUUUUGGAUUCCCGUCGUCUCGCACUGGUGAGCGGUUGUCUGGCUGCCUCCGGGGAAUAGGCCCGCGCGGGCCAGUGCGGGAAGCGGGCGGUGUUUCCCUUGCGGCCCCUCCGCCUGUCGCGCCGCGGUUCUCCGACGUCGUGCUUACAGGCCCAUUUCAUGCGACCCC